Molecule: ribosomal RNA, 440 nt
Filed under: uncultured bacterium
Lineage: Bacteria
Description: partial 16S ribosomal RNA
Rfam family: Bacterial small subunit ribosomal RNA
Source: RNAcentral
CCUACGGGGGGCAGCAGUGGGGGAUAUUGCACCAUGGGGGAAACCCUGAUGCAGCGACGCCGCGUGGGUGAAGAAGCGCCUCGGCGCGUAAAGCCCUGUCAGCAGGGAAGAAAAUGAAGGUACCUGAAGAAGAAGCCCCGGCUUACUCCGGGCCAGCAGCACCGGUAAUACGGAGGGGGCAAGCGUUAUCCGGAUUUACUGGGUGUAAAGGGGGCGCAGACGGCGGUGCAAGCAAGGAGUGAAAGCCCGGGGCCCAACCCCGGGACUGCUCGUGGAACUUCGUGGCGAGAGUGCAGGAGGGGCAGGCGGAAUUCGUGGUGUAGCGGUGAAAUGCGUAGAUAUCAGGAGGAACACCGGUGGCGAAGGCGGCCUGCUGGACUGCAACUGACGUUGAGGCCCGAAAGCGUGGGGAGCAAACAGGAUUAGAUACCCGUGUAGUC